Molecule: ribosomal RNA, 253 nt
Filed under: uncultured bacterium
Lineage: Bacteria
Description: partial 16S ribosomal RNA
Rfam family: Bacterial small subunit ribosomal RNA
Source: RNAcentral
UACGUAGGGUGCAAGCGUUAAUCGGAAUUACUGGGCGUAAAGCGUGCGCAGGCGGUUUUGUAAGUCUGACGUGAAAUCCCCGGGCUCAACCUGGGAAUUGCGUUGGAGACUGCAAGGCUAGAAUCUGGCAGAGGGGGGUAGAAUUCCACGUGUAGCAGUGAAAUGCGUAGAGAUGUGGAGGAACACCGAUGGCGAAGGCAGCCCCCUGGGUCAAGAUUGGCGCUCAUGCACGAAAGCGUGGGGAGCAAACAGG